Non-coding RNA from Lactuca sativa (garden lettuce), 207 nucleotides. Lineage: Eukaryota; Viridiplantae; Streptophyta; Magnoliopsida; Asterales; Asteraceae. The record is from RefSeq and is a predicted model, not a curated record.
AGUUUCCACCCGAGUUUGUUUCAAGGGUAAAUAUGUCCUUUCUUUGCAUUUUUUCCUGUGAAAAAGCUAGUGUAGAAUUGAACAGAUGACUUGAUGUUUGAAAUAAAGAAAUUUAUCUACUUCAUACUUGUCAUCAUAUGAGAAAUCAAGAACAGUUGAGGUAGAGGAGGAAGAACCAAAAGAUGGUGAAGAAACACCAUCAGAGGU